Molecule: ribosomal RNA, 254 nt
Filed under: uncultured bacterium
Lineage: Bacteria
Description: partial 16S ribosomal RNA
Rfam family: Bacterial small subunit ribosomal RNA
Source: RNAcentral
UACGUAGGGGGCGAGCGUUGCCCGAAGUUACUGGGCGUAAAGCGCGUGUAGGCGGGUCUUUAAGUGAGGGGUGAAAGGUUCAGGGCUUAACCCGGACACUGCCUUUCAUACUGGGGACCUUGAGUGCGGGAGAGGCGAGUGGAAUGGUCGGUGUAGCGGUGAAAUGCGUAGAUAUCGAUCGGAACACCCAUGGCGAAGGCAGCUCGCUGGCCUGUAACUGACGCUGAGACGCGAAAGCGUGGGGAGCAAACAGG